UUAGUGGCGGACGGGUGAGUAACGCGUGGAUAACCUGCCGUAUACCGGGGGAUAACACUUAGAAAUAGGUGCUAAUACCGCAUAAGCGCACGAAGCCGCAUGGAUUUGUGUGAAAAACUCCGGUGGUGUAAGAUGGACCCGCGUCUGAUUAGCUUGUUGGCGGGGUAACGGCCCACCAAGGCGACGAUCAGUAGCCGGCCUGAGAGGGUGGACGGCCACAUUGGGACUGAGACACGGCCCAAACUCCUACGGAAGGCAGCAG
RNAcentral lists this ribosomal RNA (262 nucleotides) under uncultured bacterium. RNAcentral describes it as "partial 16S ribosomal RNA". It matches the Rfam family "Bacterial small subunit ribosomal RNA", at positions 92 to 354 of the family's 1533-position model. The record is from RNAcentral.